This 380-nucleotide unclassified non-coding RNA is filed under the name Hevea brasiliensis (rubber tree). The record is from RNAcentral. Lineage: Eukaryota; Viridiplantae; Streptophyta; Magnoliopsida; Malpighiales; Euphorbiaceae.
AUGGUCUACUUCGGCGUCGGCACUUUGAGUACUGUAUACGACAUCCAUUCUUUCGCCGGCAAACAAUCCGAUUUCGCCCUUGCGAUUGUGAAACACGGGCGCAAUGCCCAUUGUUGAGCCGAUGAACGGCGACGGCAGCGCAAGAGUCGUAGUCAACGACGUUGAAGACGCUAGUAUAGUGGAAUUGGUUGGACCGUCUUCCAUUGAUUCUCCCUCUUUUCGGACUUCUGAUACUGCUGAAUCUUCAAUUUCCAUUUCUGAUGAUCAAAUUGCUCCUCUUUUGAUCCAAUCAGAGAGGCCCAAGAUCAACAUCUUCACCAUUUCUUAUCCCAGGGAAAAGCUCAAUAAGGAUGAAGUUAUAAGAGUAGUUGAAACCGGCA